This 70-nucleotide transfer RNA is filed under the name Pseudomyrmex dendroicus. RNAcentral's name for it is "tRNA-His". The record is from RNAcentral. Lineage: Eukaryota; Metazoa; Arthropoda; Insecta; Hymenoptera; Formicidae.
AUUUAAAUAGUUUAAUAUAAAAUUCUAAUUUGUGGUGUUAGGGAUGCUUAAAUGUAUACAGCUUUAAAUU